RNAcentral lists this ribosomal RNA (495 nucleotides) under uncultured bacterium. RNAcentral describes it as "partial 16S ribosomal RNA". It matches the Rfam family "Bacterial small subunit ribosomal RNA", at positions 28 to 507 of the family's 1533-position model. The record is from RNAcentral.
GACGAACGCUGGCGGCGUGCCUAAUACAUGCAAGUAGAACGCUGAAGGAGGAGCUUGCUUCUCUGGAUGAGUUGCGAACGGGUGAGUAACGCGUAGGUAACCUGCCUGGUAGCGGGGGAUAACUAUUGGAAACGAUAGCUAAUACCGCAUAAUAGCAGUUGUUGCAUGACAACUGUUUGAAAGGUGCAAUUGCACCACUACCAGAUGGACCUGCGUUGUAUUAGCUAGUUGGUGGGGUAACGGCUCACCAAGGCGACGAUACAUAGCCGACCUGAGAGGGUGAUCGGCCACACUGGGACUGAGACACGGCCCAGACUCCUACGGGAGGCAGCAGUAGGGAAUCUUCGGCAAGGGACGGAAGUCUGACCGAGCAACGCCGCGUGAGUGAAGAAGGUUUUCGGAUCGUAAAGCUCUGUUGUAAGAGAAGAACGAGUGUGAGAGUGGAAAGUUCACACUGUGACGGUAUCUUACCAGAAAGGGACGGCUAACUACGUG